This 750-nucleotide ribosomal RNA is filed under the name uncultured bacterium. Its description in RNAcentral is "bacterial SSU rRNA". It matches the Rfam family "Bacterial small subunit ribosomal RNA", at positions 41 to 805 of the family's 1533-position model. The record is from RNAcentral.
GGGGAUGCUUAAUGGCAGUCGCACGGACUCAUAUUGAAACCUAGUGAUUUAUGAGUUAGUGGCGGACGGGUGAGUAACGCGUGGAUAACCUGCCGUAUACCGGGGGAUAACACUUAGAAAUAGGUGCUAAUACCGCAUAAGCGCACGGCUCCGCAUGGGGCAGUGUGAAAAACUCCGGUGGUAUACGAUGGAUCCGCGUCUGAUUAGCUAGUUGGCGGGGUAACGGCUCACCAAGGCAGCGAUCAGUAGCCGACCUGAGAGGGUGGACGGCCACAUUGGGACUGAGACACGGCCCAAACUCCUACGGGAGGCAGCAGUGGGGAAUAUUGCACAAUGGGGGAAACCCUGAUGCAGCGACGCCGCGUGAGUGAAGAAGUAUCUCGGUACGUAAAGCUCUAUCAGCAGGGAAGAAAAUGACGGUACCUGACUAAGAAGCCCCGGCUAACUACGUGCCAGCAGCCGCGGUAAUACGUAGGGGGCAAGCGUUAUCCGGAUUUACUGGGUGUAAAGGGAGCGUAGACGGCAGCACAAGUCUGGAGUGAAAUCCCGGGGCUUAACCCCGGAACUGCUUUGGAAACUGUGCGGCUGGAGUGCAGGAGGGGUAAGCGGAAUUCCUAGUGUAGCGGUGAAAUGCGUAGAUAUUAGGAGGAACACCGGUGGCGAAGGCGGCUUACUGGACUGUAACUGACGUUGAGGCUCGAAAGCGUGGGGAGCAAACAGGAUUAGAUACCCUGGUAGUCCACGCCGUAA